UCUUCUCUCACCUUCUCACCGUUUCUCUCUCUCUCUCUCUCUCUUCUAUAUUGAUUCUUGGCUGAAAUCCCCAAUUCAUAUUAUCAGCAUAAUCGGGGCUGCGUGGAUGCCUUAGCAAAGGGUAUUAAUGAUCAGCUCAUAUCAUUAGAAAUAUUGGGAAGUCAGAUUUAUAGUGGUGGUGGUCUCCAGCAGCAGUCGCCGGCGGUGGUGGCUGGAAUCCGACAAAGAAGACGAGCUGUCCAGAAUUCAAAUUUCAGAGUUUUGGCUUUUCAGUAAAUCAAUUAAACGGAGGUCUUAAAGAUGGAGUAUCGAUGAUCCGAAGCUCGCUCGUUGGAACGAGGGAAAGCAAAAUCUGCUGCCACGCUUGUUUUCGGAGCCGAAAUCGAAGUGUUUCGAAUGCGAAUUUCGAAUCAGUUCCUUCAGGAAACUCGUAGAGGACAUCGUAAACUAUAAGUAAGUGUUCAGUUGUAUCGAAUUAGAGUAUUUAAUAUACGUGUUUUAGAGGUCGGAAUCCGGUGACAGUAAUCUGCCGGAAACAGGGCAGUUUUGAGUAUCUUCUUGCGGGACUGUUUUUGAUAUGUUGGGAUCAUAAUUUGGGCUCUGUGCCUUCAUGAAACUUGUAGAUUAAGUUGUAAGGUUUCAUUUGAUGUAUUAUUUAGGCAAUUUGGAUAACUUUACAAAUAGUUAUGAAUUUUACAAAACUGUACCAGAAAACAGAAUUUAUCCGAAAUUCUGGCAGUUUUCUGUAGUCA
This is a non-coding RNA of Erythranthe guttata (spotted monkey flower), 752 nucleotides long. The record is from RefSeq and is a predicted model, not a curated record. Lineage: Eukaryota; Viridiplantae; Streptophyta; Magnoliopsida; Lamiales; Phrymaceae.